Molecule: transfer RNA, 76 nt
Filed under: Verrucomicrobia bacterium 13_2_20CM_2_54_15_9cls
Lineage: Bacteria; Pseudomonadati; Verrucomicrobiota
Also listed under: 2 other names
Description: tRNA-Trp
Rfam family: tRNA
About the family: Transfer RNA (tRNA) molecules are approximately 80 nucleotides in length. Their secondary structure includes four short double-helical elements and three loops (D, anti-codon, and T loops). Further hydrogen bonds mediate the characteristic L-shaped molecular structure. tRNAs have two regions of fundamental functional importance: the anti-codon, which is responsible for specific mRNA codon recognition, and the 3' end, to which the tRNAs corresponding amino acid is attached (by aminoacyl-tRNA synthetases). tRNAs cope with the degeneracy of the genetic code in two manners: having more than one tRNA (with a specific anti-codon) for a particular amino acid; and 'wobble' base-pairing, i.e. permitting non-standard base-pairing at the 3rd anti-codon position.
Source: RNAcentral
ACGCCAGUAGCUCAAUUGGUAGAGUAGCGGUCUCCAAAACCGCCUGUUGGGGGUUCGAGUCCCUCCUGGCGUGCAA